This 740-nucleotide ribosomal RNA is filed under the name Salmonella enterica. RNAcentral describes it as "partial 23S ribosomal RNA". It matches the Rfam family "Bacterial large subunit ribosomal RNA", at positions 753 to 1495 of the family's 2925-position model. Lineage: Bacteria; Pseudomonadati; Pseudomonadota; Gammaproteobacteria; Enterobacterales; Enterobacteriaceae. The record is from RNAcentral. RNAcentral also lists the same sequence under 1 other name.
UGGGUAACACUAACUGGAGGACCGAACCGACUAAUGUUGAAAAAUUAGCGGAUGACCUGUGGCUGGGGGUGAAAGGCCAAUCAAACCGGGAGAUAGCUGGUUCUCCCCGAAAGCUAUUUAGGUAGCGCCUCGUGAAUUCAUCUCCGGGGGUAGAGCACUGUUUCGGCUAGGGGGCCAUCCCGGCUUACCAACCCGAUGCAAACUGCGAAUACCGGAGAAUGUUAUCACGGGAGACACACGGCGGGUGCUAACGUCCGUCGUGAAGAGGGAAACAACCCAGACCGCCAGCUAAGGUCCCAAAGUCAUGGUUAAGUGGGAAACGAUGUGGGAAGGCCCAGACAGCCAGGAUGUUGGCUUAGAAGCAGCCAUCAUUUAAAGAAAGCGUAAUAGCUCACUGGUCGAGUCGGCCUGCGCGGAAGAUGUAACGGGGCUAAACCAUGCACCGAAGCUGCGGCAGCGACACUGUGUGUUGUUGGGUAGGGGAGCGUUCUGUAAGCCUGUGAAGGUGUGUCGUGAGGCAUGCUGGAGGUAUCAGAAGUGCGAAUGCUGACAUAAGUAACGAUAAAGCGGGUGAAAAGCCCGCUCGCCGGAAGACCAAGGGUUCCUGUCCAACGUUAAUCGGGGCAGGGUGAGUCGACCCCUAAGGCGAGGCCGAAAGGCGUAGUCGAUGGGAAACGGGUUAAUAUUCCCGUACUUGGUGUUACUGCGAAGGGGGGACGGAGAAGGCUAUGUUGGCCGGG